UACGUAGGGGGCAAGCGUUGUCCGGAAUCAUUGGGCGUAAAGAGCGCGUAGGCGGUCCGGUAAGUCGGUUGUGAAAACUGGGGGCUCAACCCUCAGAGGCCGACCGAUACUGUCGGGCUAGAGUCCGGAAGAGGCGAGUGGAAUUCCUGGUGUAGCGGUGAAAUGCGCAGAUAUCAGGAGGAACACCGGUGGCGAAGGCGGUUCUCUGGGCCUUACCUGACGCUGAGGAGCGAAAGCGUGGGGAGCAAACAGG
This 253-nucleotide ribosomal RNA is filed under the name uncultured bacterium. RNAcentral describes it as "partial 16S ribosomal RNA". It matches the Rfam family "Bacterial small subunit ribosomal RNA", at positions 524 to 776 of the family's 1533-position model. The record is from RNAcentral.